Molecule: ribosomal RNA, 1318 nt
Filed under: Lactiplantibacillus plantarum subsp. plantarum
Lineage: Bacteria; Bacillati; Bacillota; Bacilli; Lactobacillales; Lactobacillaceae
Description: bacterial SSU rRNA
Rfam family: Bacterial small subunit ribosomal RNA
Source: RNAcentral
GAUUUACAUUUGAGUGAGUGGCGAACUGGUGAGUAACACGUGGGAAACCUGCCCAGAAGCGGGGGAUAACACCUGGAAACAGAUGCUAAUACCGCAUAACAACUUGGACCGCAUGGUCCGAGCUUGAAAGAUGGCUUCGGCUAUCACUUUUGGAUGGUCCCGCGGCGUAUUAGCUAGAUGGUGGGGUAACGGCUCACCAUGGCAAUGAUACGUAGCCGACCUGAGAGGGUAAUCGGCCACAUUGGGACUGAGACACGGCCCAAACUCCUACGGGAGGCAGCAGUAGGGAAUCUUCCACAAUGGACGAAAGUCUGAUGGAGCAACGCCGCGUGAGUGAAGAAGGGUUUCGGCUCGUAAAACUCUGUUGUUAAAGAAGAACAUAUCUGAGAGUAACUGUUCAGGUAUUGACGGUAUUUAACCAGAAAGCCACGGCUAACUACGUGCCAGCAGCCGCGGUAAUACGUAGGUGGCAAGCGUUGUCCGGAUUUAUUGGGCGUAAAGCGAGCGCAGGCGGUUUUUUAAGUCUGAUGUGAAAGCCUUCGGCUCAACCGAAGAAGUGCAUCGGAAACUGGGAAACUUGAGUGCAGAAGAGGACAGUGGAACUCCAUGUGUAGCGGUGAAAUGCGUAGAUAUAUGGAAGAACACCAGUGGCGAAGGCGGCUGUCUGGUCUGUAACUGACGCUGAGGCUCGAAAGUAUGGGUAGCAAACAGGAUUAGAUACCCUGGUAGUCCAUACCGUAAACGAUGAAUGCUAAGUGUUGGAGGGUUUCCGCCCUUCAGUGCUGCAGCUAACGCAUUAAGCAUUCCGCCUGGGGAGUACGGCCGCAAGGCUGAAACUCAAAGGAAUUGACGGGGGCCCGCACAAGCGGUGGAGCAUGUGGUUUAAUUCGAAGCUACGCGAAGAACCUUACCAGGUCUUGACAUACUAUGCAAAUCUAAGAGAUUAGACGUUCCCUUCGGGGACAUGGAUACAGGUGGUGCAUGGUUGUCGUCAGCUCGUGUCGUGAGAUGUUGGGUUAAGUCCCGCAACGAGCGCAACCCUUAUUAUCAGUUGCCAGCAUUAAGUUGGGCACUCUGGUGAGACUGCCGGUGACAAACCGGAGGAAGGUGGGGAUGACGUCAAAUCAUCAUGCCCCUUAUGACCUGGGCUACACACGUGCUACAAUGGAUGGUACAACGAGUUGCGAACUCGCGAGAGUAAGCUAAUCUCUUAAAGCCAUUCUCAGUUCGGAUUGUAGGCUGCAACUCGCCUACAUGAAGUCGGAAUCGCUAGUAAUCGCGGAUCAGCAUGCCGCGGUGAAUACGUUCCCGGGCCUUG